This 1047-nucleotide ribosomal RNA is filed under the name Fictibacillus sp. RNAcentral's name for it is "bacterial SSU rRNA". It matches the Rfam family "Bacterial small subunit ribosomal RNA", at positions 398 to 1447 of the family's 1533-position model. The record is from RNAcentral. Lineage: Bacteria; Bacillati; Bacillota; Bacilli; Caryophanales; Fictibacillaceae.
CGCGUGAGCGAUGAAGGCCUUCGGGUCGUAAAGCUCUGUUGUCAGAGAAGAACAAGUACCGGAGUAACUGCCGGUACCUUGACGGUACCUGACCAGAAAGCCACGGCUAACUACGUGCCAGCAGCCGCGGUAAUACGUAGGUGGCAAGCGUUAUCCGGAAUUAUUGGGCGUAAAGCGCGCGCAGGCGGUUCUUUAAGUCUGAUGUGAAAGCCCACGGCUCAACCGUGGAGGGUCAUUGGAAACUGGGGAACUUGAGUGCAGGAGAGAAAAGUGGAAUUCCACGUGUAGCGGUGAAAUGCGUAGAGAUGUGGAGGAACACCAGUGGCGAAGGCGGCUUUUUGGCCUGUAACUGACGCUGAGGCGCGAAAGCGUGGGGAGCAAACAGGAUUAGAUACCCUGGUAGUCCACGCCGUAAACGAUGAGUGCUAGGUGUUGGGGGGUUCCACCCUCAGUGCUGACGUUAACACAUUAAGCACUCCGCCUGGGGAGUACGGCCGCAAGGCUGAAACUCAAAGGAAUUGACGGGGGCCCGCACAAGCAGUGGAGCAUGUGGUUUAAUUCGAAGCAACGCGAAGAACCUUACCAGGUCUUGACAUCCUCUGACCACUUGAGAGAUCAAGCUUUCCCCUUCGGGGGACAGAGUGACAGGUGGUGCAUGGUUGUCGUCAGCUCGUGUCGUGAGAUGUUGGGUUAAGUCCCGCAACGAGCGCAACCCUUGACCUUAGUUGCCAGCAUUAAGUUGGGCACUCUAGGGUGACUGCCGGUGACAAACCGGAGGAAGGUGGGGAUGACGUCAAAUCAUCAUGCCCCUUAUGACCUGGGCUACACACGUGCUACAAUGGGUGGUACAAAGGGUUGCAAAGCCGCGAGGCUAAGCCAAUCCCAAAAAGCCACUCUCAGUUCGGAUUGUAGCUGCAACUCGCCUACGUGAAGCCCGAUUGCUAGUAUCGCGGAUCAGCAUGCCGCGUGAGACGUUCCCAGGGCCUUGUACACGCGGCCGUCACACCACGAGAGUUUGUACACCCGAGUCAGUAGUACGUUUGAGCG